RNAcentral lists this ribosomal RNA (1196 nucleotides) under uncultured Methanosaeta sp. RNAcentral's name for it is "bacterial SSU rRNA". It matches the Rfam family "Archaeal small subunit ribosomal RNA", at positions 112 to 1319 of the family's 1478-position model. The record is from RNAcentral. Lineage: Archaea; Methanobacteriati; Methanobacteriota; Methanomicrobia; Methanotrichales; Methanotrichaceae.
CCCUGGUGGGUAACCGGGAACUUGGUAUAAUCCCCUAUAAGUCUCGGCUGCUGGAAUGCACCGAGAUUAAAAGCUCCGGCGCCUAAGGAUGGGUCUGCGGCCUAUCAGGUAGUAGUGGGUGUAGCGUACCUACUAGCCUACGACGGGUACGGGUUGUGAGAGCAAGAGCCCGGAGAUGGAUUCUGAGACACGAAUCCAGGCCCUACGGGGUGCAGCAGGCGCGAAAACUUUACAAUGCUGGCAACAGCGAUAAGGGAACCUCGAGUGCCAGGUUACAAAUCUGGCUGUCGAGAUGCCUAAAAAGCAUUUCAUAGCAAGGGCCGGGCAAGACCGGUGCCAGCCGCCGCGGUAACACCGGCGGCUCGAGUGGUAACCGUUAUUAUUGGGUCUAAAGGGUCUGUAGCCGGCCGGAUAAGUCUCUUGAGAAAUCUGGCAGCUUAACUGUCAGGCUUUCAGGAGAUACUGUCUGGCUCGAGGCCGGGAGAGGUGAGAGGUACUUCAGGGGUAGGGGUGAAAUCUUGUAAUCCUUGAAGGACCACCAGUGGCGAAGGCGUCUCACCAGAACGGACCUGACGGCAAGGGACGAAAGCUAGGGGCACGAACCGGAUUAGAUACCCGGGUAGUCCUAGUCGUAAACGAUACUCGCUAGGUGUCGGCCACGGUGCGACCGUUGUCGGUGCCGUAGGGAAGCCGUGAAGCGAGCCACCUGGGAAGUACGGCCGCAAGGCUGAAACUUAAAGGAAUUGGCGGGGGAGCACCACAACGGGUGGAGCUUGCGGUUUAAUUGGAUUCAACGCCGGAAAUCUUACCGGGACCGACAGCAAUAUGAAGGCCAGGCUGAAGACUUUGCCGGAUUAGCUGAGAGGUGGUGCAUGGCCGUCGUCAGUUCGUACUGUGAAGCAUCCUGUUAAGUCAGGCAACGAGCGAGACCCACGCCCACAGUUGCCAGCGUACUCUCUGGAGUGACGGGUACACUGUGGGGACCGCCGCUGCUAAAGCGGAGGAAGGAAUGGGCAACGGUAGGUCAGUAUGCCCCGAAUAUCCCGGGCUACACGCGGGCUACAAUGGUUGGUACAAUGGGUAUCUACCCCGAAAGGGGACGGGAAUCUCCUAAAACCAAUCUUAGUUCGGAUUGAGGGCUGCAACUCGCCCUCAUGAAGCUGGAAUCCGUAGUAAUCGCGUCAACAGACCGGGGU